Molecule: microRNA, 20 nt
Filed under: Homo sapiens (human)
Lineage: Eukaryota; Metazoa; Chordata; Mammalia; Primates; Hominidae
Description: hsa-miR-5684
Source: miRBase by way of RNAcentral
AACUCUAGCCUGAGCAACAG